RNAcentral lists this long non-coding RNA (213 nucleotides) under Oryza brachyantha (malo sina). RNAcentral's name for it is "long non-coding RNA (OBRA_LNC003673)". Lineage: Eukaryota; Viridiplantae; Streptophyta; Magnoliopsida; Poales; Poaceae. The record is from RNAcentral.
CGAAGAUGCUAAGCACAAGUGAAAAACAUGAAAAUUAUUUGAGUUAAUUACUGUUUAGUAAGCGAACAAUGGAUUGUUUUCCGGUUAGAUAUAUAGCAUAUCCACCAUAGCAUGGACUGCUGAAAGAAACAAAGAAAUAAUAAGCAGCAUGGGCUACUUACCUGCUCAAGAGCAUGCAGCCCUUCAGCAGACAGGAUUCAUUGAUCUGAUGGA